This 468-nucleotide ribosomal RNA is filed under the name uncultured bacterium. Its description in RNAcentral is "partial 16S ribosomal RNA". It matches the Rfam family "Bacterial small subunit ribosomal RNA", at positions 28 to 507 of the family's 1533-position model. The record is from RNAcentral.
GACGAACGCUGGCGGCGUGCUUAACACAUGCAAGUCGAACGGAAAGGCCCUGCUUUUGUUGGGUGCUCGAGUGGCGAACGGGUGAGUAACACGUGAGUAACCUGCCCUUGACUUUGGGAUAACUUCAGGAAACUGGGGCUAAUACCGGAUAGGAUCUCCUGCUGCAUGGUGGUUGUUGGAAAGUUUCGGCGGUUGGGGAUGGACUCGCGGCUUAUCAGCUUGUUGGUGGGGUAGUGGCUUACCAAGGCUUUGACGGGUAGCCGGCCUGAGAGGGUGACCGGCCACAUGGGGACUGAGAUACGGCCCAGACUCCAACGGGAGGCAGCAGUGGGGAAUAUUGCACAAUGGGCGGAAGCCUGAUGCAGCAACGCCGCGUGCGGGAUGACGGCCUUCGGGUUGUAAACCGCUUUCGCCUGUGACGAAGCGUGAGUGACGGUAAUGGGUAAAGAAGCACCGGCUAACUACGUG